CAAUCCGUCCUGAAUUCCAAACCACCCGCAGCGCGAAAGAGUGGCAUAAAAUAAUUCUGAUAUGGCUCCCAGCUGCACAUCGUAAAGAAGUGGAAUCAUAAAAAUUUUCAUCAAAUCAUGUAGGCGUAGUUAGUAGCCCCUGUCCACAACGUUCCAGCAACGGGAAGACACGUCGAGCGUAAGGAUGAUGGCGCUAUACGACUGCGGUACAACGGAGGUGCCAUCAUAUCCCUAAACAACAAGCAGAUCCCAACAAUAUAGCUUCAUAUCUCCAGUAGCAACGUUCUUGCAUGGUGACAACCCGCUUCGGCAGCACACAGAUGAUGGCAACAUCAUCUUGAUGUCCGCCUACAGACACAAAGCACAUCAUUAUUUGCCAUCAAAAUGAUUCCAAUCUGAAUAGUAGGCAACCAAAAACAAUACUAUAUGAUUUCACAAUCGAAUGCAAAGCAAUAAGAAAAAAAGAUUUGAUUUUGCAUUCGAAUGAAAAGCGCAAAACACAGAGAGGGAACGAGAGAGUGCCCAAUGCCACAGUCGAGUAGUCGACAGCCAGAUGAUGUGCGACUUCCCGCUUUAGCAUCCCAUUUCUUAAUGACCGUGCUCACUUCAAGCUCCACAUCUAGAUCCUUCACGCCAUACAGAGAACCACGGGCUCUUUUCGAGUCCCGGCGGUUGGAGCAGGCGGAGGCGGGCGGCGCGAUAAGGAGCGGAGGGACCGCCAGAUGACGCCCGAAGUUUCCGGAGCAAGACCCAAACUGAUGAUCCGAUGGACGAUAUCAAUUGAGCUUGAGAUCUGACGGUCGUGAAAUACUGGUGACGUGUCCCAAUGCGCGAUCGGGAAUUGUCCGCUGGUUUCGUCACGUAGAGAUUUAUCGCUCGCUUCUGCUUCUGCUGCGGCUGUUGCUGCAGCUUGCAGCUAAUGCAGUUCCAGCUAAAAAAUAACUGCACAAUCUUAUCUUGAGAUAUAAAAAAUUGUAAAAUAAUUCUCACCCGCAUGCUAGCUGCAGCUGCUAUUGGCAUUCUGUUGCAGCCAUAGCCGUAGCACAGCUGCAGUCAACUGAUCCGAUC
Molecule: long non-coding RNA, 1068 nt
Filed under: Setaria viridis
Lineage: Eukaryota; Viridiplantae; Streptophyta; Magnoliopsida; Poales; Poaceae
Description: long non-coding RNA (SVIR_LNC002318)
Source: RNAcentral